GACAAACGCUGGCGGCAUGCCUAACACAUGCAAGUCGAACGGACAGAACAGGGAAGCUUUUCGGAGUGGAACUGGAAAGUUAGUGGCGGAUGGGUGAGUAACGCGUGGACAACCUACCUUGUAAAGGGGAAUAACCUCGAGAAAUCGAAGCUAAUACCCCAUAAUAACCUUGCUUCGCAUGAAGUAAGGAGGAAAGGCGGCCUUAGCGCUGUCGAUACAAGAUGGGUCCGCGUCUGAUUAGCUAGUUGGUGAGGUAAAGGCUCACCAAGGCGACGAUCAGUAGCAGGCCUGAGAGGGUGAACGGCAACAUGGGGACUGAGACACGGCCCAAACUAAUACGGGAGGCAGCAGUGGGGAAUCUUCAGAAAUGGGCGAAAGCCUGACGGAGCAAUGCCGCGUGAGUGAAGAAGGGUUUCGGGUUGUAAAACUCUGUCGUUAUAGAAGAGAGAGGGUUGUAGUAAUUGACAAUACUAGGACGGUAGAUGAGGAGGAAGACCAGGAUAACUAUGUG
RNAcentral lists this ribosomal RNA (511 nucleotides) under uncultured bacterium. RNAcentral's name for it is "partial 16S ribosomal RNA". It matches the Rfam family "Bacterial small subunit ribosomal RNA", at positions 28 to 507 of the family's 1533-position model. The record is from RNAcentral.